UCUUCGGAGAGUUUGAUCCUGGCUCAGGACGAACGCUGGCGCCGUGCCUAAGACACGCCCGGCGAGCGAAUCAAUGGGAGCUUGCUCCCUGAGAUUAGCGGCGGACGGGUGAGUAACACGUGGGCAACCUGCCUAUAAGACUGGGAUAACUUCGGGAAACCGGAGCUAAUACCGGAUACGUUCUUUUCUCGCAUGAGAGA
This 200-nucleotide ribosomal RNA is filed under the name Peribacillus simplex. RNAcentral describes it as "partial 16S ribosomal RNA". It matches the Rfam family "Bacterial small subunit ribosomal RNA", at positions 1 to 197 of the family's 1533-position model. The record is from RNAcentral. Lineage: Bacteria; Bacillati; Bacillota; Bacilli; Caryophanales; Bacillaceae.